GACGAACGCUGGCGGCGUGCUUAACACAUGCAAGUCGAACGGUGAAGGGACCGGUUUUUGCUGGUUCUGGAUGAGUGGCGAACGGGUGAGUAACACGUGAGUAACCUGCCCCCUUCUUCUGGAUAACCGCAUGAAAGUGUGGCUAAUACGGGAUAUUCUGCGCCUGCUGCAUGGUGGGUGUGGGAAAGAUAUUGUUUCGGUGGGGGAUGGGCUCGCGGCCUAUCAGCUUGUUGGCGGGGUGAUGGCCUACCAAGACGGUGACGGGUAGCCGGCCUGAGAGGGUGGACGGUCACACUGGGACUGAGACACGGCCCAGACUCCUACGGGAGGCAGCAGUGGGGAAUAUUGCACAAUGGGCGCAAGCCUGAUGCAGCGACGCCGCGUGAGGGAUGGAGGCCUUCGGGUUGUAAACCUCUUUCGCCAGUGAAGCAGGCCUGUCCCUUUUGUGGGUGGGUUGACGGUAGCUGGAGAAGAAGCGCCGGCUAACUACGUG
Molecule: ribosomal RNA, 493 nt
Filed under: uncultured bacterium
Lineage: Bacteria
Description: partial 16S ribosomal RNA
Rfam family: Bacterial small subunit ribosomal RNA
Source: RNAcentral